GAAAUGCGAUAAGUAAUGUGAAUUGCAGAAUUCAGUGAACCAUCGAAUCUUUGAACGCACAUUGCGCCCCCUGGUACCCCGGGGGGCAUGCCUGUCCGAGCGUCAUAUGUCCUGUCGGGCCCCUCGUUGGGUCCGGUGUUGGGUGCCCGCGCUGCCCCGUCCGGAGGUGUGGACCCGAAAUGAAACCCCCGCGGUGGAGACGCCCGGUGGUGCAGAGCGGCCGAGGCACACCGCCAUCGCUCAGCGCACCUACCGGCCCCACCCCCCUGGACCGGCCCCGGUCGGUCGGGGAUCAGAUUCAAGCGACUGACCUCGGAUCAGGCAGGGAUACCCGCUGAACUUAA
Molecule: unclassified non-coding RNA, 344 nt
Filed under: uncultured Ascomycota
Lineage: Eukaryota; Fungi; Ascomycota
Description: sequence contains ITS1
Rfam family: 5.8S ribosomal RNA (bases 1-105)
Source: RNAcentral